GUUUUAUGUCUAAAUACAACUUUAAAAUCACUCUUCGGACGGAGUACUUCUGAGAAAUGAUUGCACUUUUAAAGCUGUUUGAAGGUGUGAAAACGUUCAAGCCAUCCGCCACGACAGAGGCCUUGUGGACAUUAGAUCUCAGGUCUCCCUCUGACCUGCAGCGGGAGCCUCCUCCGUUGACCUUUCCUGGAUGAUGACAGGGGCCCUCAGCCACCUCUUCCUGCCCUCUAUUUCUUGUAAAGCAAAAUCGUGAGCCUGCUGGCCUGCCAAGCCUGAGAUCUACGUUUGAAGUUAUUUGAGAAUUGGCAUUCCACCAAGUACUGAAAGGCCCAUUGUCCAAUUUCUAAAGAGAAGCAGCAUUUGAGGAUUUUGAAUCAUUCUGCUCUGCUUCUAAAGAAAAGGUGCAUCAAAGAUCUUCAUGAGGCAGCUGGAACUUGCAGUGGAGCGAAUCCUCCAGGCAUGGGUUCCUCUCCCUACCCGACCUGUGGGACAUCUGCUCGUGUCUUUUAUGUUGUUGAAAGGCUUCCACUGCUGGGACACCUUUUGGCUCUGUGCCACCUGACCAAUCUAGCCCACUUUUCACGGCGUCCAAGGGGGGUUGGGGAGAAUGGAGGGUGGUAUUUGGAAUUAGCAGCAAGGAGGAACCUGGUCACGUCCAUGUGUCCAAUUUUCAUUAAGUCAAGGGGGUGGACACCAGAUGUCAGAGACUCAGGCAACCAGAUGUCCAAGUUCCUGGCCUUCCAAGGUCCUUAUUUACAAAUCCAGGUAAGGAUGAUUUAAGCUUCCGUAUAAGUAUAAUUUUACACUUUUGUGAGGGUGCCCUUCUUCAAGUUCUUGGGCAUCUAUCUCUGAGGAAGGCAUACUCCUCAAAUUCAUGCUGCUGCACUGGUUGUCACUCAUCCCCUUGGACAGCCAUUCUGCUCCAGACCACUGCAGAUCACUUUAAGAAACCAGUAUUUCCUACCCAGAUUUUCCCCAUGUGUGUUAACAGAGGCACCUGCCUAAACUCGCAAAGCACCCCUAAAACCAAGCUAUGUAUAGCAUUGAACAAAACUUCCUAAAGACUUGAGGACAGAAAGAGGAAUUAUAAUGAGAAAAGGAGAGUGUUAAUCCUAUAAAUCGGCCAUCUCUGAUCCAAAGGAGGCAGUGGCAUGGCUAAAGAAGUGGACAGCCUGGGUGAAAGGUGAGCCGUGAUGGGUAUUGAAACUCUCUGGGUUUCAGAGGGUACCCAGCACACAAAAAUAUCUUGGAAACUAACUGAGUCACCGUUAAGCAGUAUACCUAGUAAGCAUCCAAUCGCUGUUUCCUGUUAGAAUUAUCAUAACCAUUCUCGUCACUGCUCUCCAGUACCUAGCCUGCCCUCCCACUCUAGGGAUUAACCCACCUCCUGGGAUUUCAUUGUCAUUGCUCUUCCCCCAAGUACACAUCUCCAAUUUUGUCUGGGACUUAGAGAUUGGAGAAAAAUGGUUUUUGCCCCGUAAUAAACUAAUCGGCCCUCUGCCCAAAACAAAAACUUCAUUGUUUAAUGUAGAUCAGUUAAGUUCUUUAUGAAUUGUAUCCCUCAAUAACGGAAUAGGAUUUUUAUUUUGCUCUGCAAACCACAAGUUCCAAUAAAGUAUUUUCUCCUAAAAAGAGGUAUCAUCUUUGUGGGCAAAAAAGUAGAUAGACAGUAAAAUAAAUCGGCAAAAAAAUGCAUAGUUACUGAUUAAGAAGAAUGCGAUGGGCAGUUUUUUGGAGUCAAAAAUAAGCAGGGGUGGCUGGCCCAGUGGUGUAGUGGUUGAGUUCACAUGCUCUGCUUUGGCAGUCCAGGGUUCAUGGGUUCAGAUCCUGGGCAUGGAGCUACACACUGCUCAUCAAGCCAUGCCAUGGCAGCGUCCCACAUACAAAAUAGAGGAAGAUUGGCACAGAUGUUAGCUCAGGGACAAUCUUCCUCAGGCAAAAUGAGGAAGAUUGGCAACAGAUGUUACCUCAUGGCUAAUCUUCCUCACCAAAAAAAAUAAAUAUAUAGAUAACAAUCAUAAAAAUCAGGGGGACCUACUUCAGAUUAUUUGGUUAGGAAAGGCCUCUUUGAAGAGAUGGCAUUUAAAGAGAGACCUAAGGAAUGAGAAGAAACCAGCUGGGCAAAGAGUUGAAAAAGUAUUGCUCCCUGGAGAACAACAUUCUCCCUUUCUUCCCUCCAAUUUUGUGUUUUGAUAGUUAGCACAGGUACUUUUAUGUAGGGAACCUCAAUUUCCCUAGAACCUGAGAUGAGUAACAGUUGGUUUUAACCCAUCGUGGUAAUGCUAAUCACCUUCAGUGAUUGGUGGGUGUGAGACUAUGUUCGGGCAAAUGAGGCCAUAAGCAGAUAUAUGAUAGAAAGCUUCUGUGAGAACUUUGUUUCUUUUUAAAAGGAGAAAAUUAGAGAGGAGAGCUCCCUCUCACUACCCUUUCCCUCUUCUUGCCUUCAGUGUAGAAGUGACGCAUGGAGCUGUGGUAAGUAUUUUGAGACUGUGAAGCAACAAGCAAAUAUGCUAUAUACGGCUGAACAGAAAAAUACAAACAAGAUACAUCCUUGGUGAACUUAUUGAGUCCUUAGACAGCCCUGAGAUCUGCUGCCAGACUUCAUCCAAUGUGAGAAAAAUAAAGCACUAUUCAUUUAAGUAAUUGUUAAAUUUUUCUAUUAUUUGCAAAGAGGUGGCAUGAUCAUAUUUUUAAGAAGAUCGUUCUUAAGACGAAUCCUGCUGUUUGGGGAUCUUUUAAGAAGACCCUAGUGUUACAGAGUCAUGCAGAG
Molecule: long non-coding RNA, 2770 nt
Filed under: Equus caballus (horse)
Lineage: Eukaryota; Metazoa; Chordata; Mammalia; Perissodactyla; Equidae
Description: lncRNA (ENSECAG00000059363.1)
Source: RNAcentral